GCUGGGCAUGGUGGUGGGUGCCUGUAAUCCCAGCUACUUGGGAGGCUGAGGCAGGAUAAUCACUUGAACCCAGGAGGUGAAGGUUGUAGUGAGCUGAGAUCGUGCCACUGCACUCCAGCCUGGGCAACACAGUGAGAUCCUGUCUCAU
Pongo abelii (Sumatran orangutan) is the source of this 148-nucleotide unclassified non-coding RNA. It matches the Rfam family "Metazoan signal recognition particle RNA". From Rfam's summary of the family: The signal recognition particle (SRP) is a universally conserved ribonucleoprotein. It is involved in the co-translational targeting of proteins to membranes. The eukaryotic SRP consists of a 300-nucleotide 7S RNA and six proteins: SRPs 72, 68, 54, 19, 14, and 9. The record is from Ensembl. Lineage: Eukaryota; Metazoa; Chordata; Mammalia; Primates; Hominidae.